This 462-nucleotide ribosomal RNA is filed under the name uncultured bacterium. RNAcentral describes it as "partial 16S ribosomal RNA". It matches the Rfam family "Bacterial small subunit ribosomal RNA", at positions 28 to 507 of the family's 1533-position model. The record is from RNAcentral.
GACGAACGCUGGCGGCGUGCUUAACACAUGCAAGUCGAACGGAAAGGCCCUUCGGGGUACUCGAGUGGCGAACGGGUGAGUAACGCGUGGGUGAUCUGCCCUGCACUUUGGGAUAAGCCUGGGAAACUGGGUCUAAUACCGAAUAGGACCACGCGCUUCAUGGUGUGUGGUGGAAAGCUUUUGCGGUGUGGGAUGGGCCCGCGGCCUAUCAGCUUGUUGGUGGGGUAAUGGCCUACCAAGGCGACGACGGGUAGCCGGCCUGAGAGGGUGACCGGCCACACUGGGACUGAGAUACGGCCCAGACUCCUACGGGAGGCAGCAGUGGGGAAUAUUGCACAAUGGGCGCAAGCCUGAUGCAGCGACGCCGCGUGAGGGAUGACGGCCUUCGGGUUGUAAACCUCUUUCAAUAGGGACGAAGCGCAAGUGACGGUACCUAUAGAAGAAGCACCGGCCAACUACGUG